GAUGAACGCUGGCGGCGUGCCUAAUACAUGCAAGUCGAGCGAACGGACGAGAAGCUUGCCUCUCUGAUGUUAGCGGCGGACGGGUGAGUAACACGUGGAUAACCUACCUAUAAGACUGGGAUAACUUCGGGAAACCGGAGCUAAUACCGGAUAAUAUUUUGAACCGCAUGGUUCAAAAGUGAAAGACGGUCUUGCUGUCACUUAUAGAUGGAUCCGCGCUGCAUUAGCUAGUUGGUAAGGUAACGGCUUACCAAGGCAACGAUGCAUAGCCGACCUGCGAGGGUGAUCGGCCACACUGGAACUGAGACACGGUCCAGACUCCUACGGGAGGCAGCAGUAGGGAAUCUUCCGCAAUGGGCGAAAGCCUGACGGAGCAACGCCGCGUGAGUGAUGAAGGUCUUCGGAUCGUAAAACUCUGUUAUUAGGGAAGAACAUAUGUGUAAGUAACUGUGCACAUCUUGACGGUACCUAAUCAGAAAGCCACGGCUAACUACGUG
RNAcentral lists this ribosomal RNA (497 nucleotides) under uncultured bacterium. RNAcentral describes it as "partial 16S ribosomal RNA". It matches the Rfam family "Bacterial small subunit ribosomal RNA", at positions 28 to 507 of the family's 1533-position model. The record is from RNAcentral.